UACAGAGGUCCCAAGCGUUGUUCGGAUUCACUGGGCGUAAAGGGUGCGUAGGUGGUGGAUUAAGUCGGGUGUGAAAUCUCCGGGCUCAACCCGGAGCGUGCGCCCGAAACUGAUCCGCUAGAGGAUAGGAGGGGAGACUGGAAUUCUCGGUGUAGCAGUGAAAUGCGUAGAUAUCGAGAGGAACACCGGUGGCGAAGGCGAGUCUCUGGACUAUUCCUGACACUGAAUCACGAAAGCCGGGGGAGCAAACAGG
RNAcentral lists this ribosomal RNA (253 nucleotides) under uncultured bacterium. Its description in RNAcentral is "partial 16S ribosomal RNA". It matches the Rfam family "Bacterial small subunit ribosomal RNA", at positions 524 to 776 of the family's 1533-position model. The record is from RNAcentral.